GGUCAUAUGGCCAAAUGGAAAGGCGCUUGGCUACGAACCAAGAGAUUCCAGGUUCGACCCCUGGUAUGAUCA
Coemansia sp. RSA 2671 is the source of this 72-nucleotide non-coding RNA. The record is from the annotation of a GenBank genome assembly. NCBI's taxonomy places the organism in Eukaryota, Fungi, Kickxellomycota, Kickxellomycetes, Kickxellales, Kickxellaceae.